Molecule: ribosomal RNA, 398 nt
Filed under: uncultured microorganism
Description: bacterial SSU rRNA
Rfam family: Archaeal small subunit ribosomal RNA
Source: RNAcentral
GCGCAGCAGUCGCGAAACUUUACAAUGUGCGAAAGCACGAUAAGGGAACUCUGAGUGCCUCCUAAGGAGGCUGUUCUGAUGUCUAAAAGCAACAGAAGUAAGGGCUGGGUAAGACCGGUGCCAGCCGCCGCGGUAACACCGGCAGCCCAAGUGGUAGCCACGUUUAUUGGGUCUAAAGCGUUCGUAGCCGGCCAGGUAAGUUCCUUGGUAAAUUUAGCCGCUUAACGGUUAAGCUUUCAGGGAAUACUGCUUGGCUUGGGACUGGGAGAGGUCAGAGGUACUCCGGGGGUAGGGGUGAAAUCUAUUAAUCCCUGGGGGACCACCGGUAGCGAAGGCGUCUGACCAGACCAGGUCCGACGGUGAGGGACGAAGGCUAGGGGCGCGAACCGGAUUAGAUA